This 275-nucleotide ribosomal RNA is filed under the name uncultured prokaryote. RNAcentral's name for it is "partial 16S ribosomal RNA". It matches the Rfam family "Bacterial small subunit ribosomal RNA", at positions 524 to 798 of the family's 1533-position model. The record is from RNAcentral.
UACGUAGGUGGCGAGCGUUAUCCGGAUUUACUGGGUGUAAAGGGCGUGUAGGCGGCUCUGCAAGUCAGAUGUGAAAUUUCCGGGCUUAACCCGGACGGGUCACCUGAAACUGCAGGACUUGAGUACUGGAGAGGAUAGCGGAAUUCCUAGUGUAGCGGUAAAAUGCGUAGAUAUUAGGAGGAACACCGGUGGCGAAGGCGGCUAUCUGGACAGUAACUGACGCUGAGGCGCGAAAGCGUGGGGAGCAAACAGGAUUAGAUACCCUGGUAGUCCCU